GGACUACAGGGGUUUCUAAUCCUGUUCGCUCCCCACGCUUUCGCGUCUCAGCGUCAGUACCGUCCCAGAGAACCGCCUUCGCCACGGGUGUUCUUCCUGAUAUCUGCGCAUUUCACCGCUACACCAGGAAUUCCAUUCUCCUCUUCCGGACUCUAGCCAGAAAGUUUCCACCGACAGCUCGAAGUUGAGCCUCGAGUUUUCACAGCGGACUUUUCUGGCCGCCUACACGCUCUUUACGCCCAAUGAUUCCGGACAACGCUUGCCCCCUACGUAUUACCGCGGCGGCUGGCAC
RNAcentral lists this ribosomal RNA (292 nucleotides) under uncultured bacterium. RNAcentral's name for it is "partial 16S ribosomal RNA". The record is from RNAcentral.